Molecule: ribosomal RNA, 205 nt
Filed under: uncultured Lachnospiraceae bacterium
Lineage: Bacteria; Bacillati; Bacillota; Clostridia; Lachnospirales; Lachnospiraceae
Description: partial 16S ribosomal RNA
Rfam family: Bacterial small subunit ribosomal RNA
Source: RNAcentral
GAGGGUGAACGGCCACAUUGGGACUGAGACACGGCCCAGUACUCUUACGGGAGGCAGCAGUGGGGAAUAUUGCACAAUGGGGGAAACUAUGAUGCAGCGACGCCGCGUGAAGGAAGAAGUAUUUCGGUAUGUAAAACUCUAUCAGCAGGGAAGAAAUGACGUACCGACAAGAAGCUCCGGCUAAAUACGUGCCAGCAGCCGCGGU